Molecule: long non-coding RNA, 1336 nt
Filed under: Equus caballus (horse)
Lineage: Eukaryota; Metazoa; Chordata; Mammalia; Perissodactyla; Equidae
Description: lncRNA (ENSECAG00000046326.1)
Source: RNAcentral
CGGUGAGCCAAUGGUCAGAUGGGUGAGGUGUCAAGGGAGCAUGUUCCAGACGGCAAGUCCCUCACGUCCUUGGAAUUGAAGACCUUCACACCAGACCCCGCAUGAUGGGGAGGCUGAGACCCUGGAAGGAAGGUGGCAACCCUAGCCACACUGCUGGGAGAGGACCCCUCGGCUCCCACACCCAGAGACCCCUUGAGGAGGGUCCUUGGGUCCCUUGUGGGCCUUCAUCCAGGAGCGAUGUCCGUGGUGGCCCCGAAAAGAUACGUCCCGGCCCCUGGCACCUGUGACUGUGACCUUAUUUGGAGAAAAGGGUCUUUGCAGAUGUAAUCAAGGGAUCGCAAGAUGCGAUCCUCUUGGAAUCUCCGCGUGGGCCCUAAAUCCAGGGACAGGUGUCCUUACAAGACACAGAAGAGGAGAGGACAUGGAGAUGAGGAGGAGCAGGUCGUGUGAAGAUGAGGCAGAGACGGGAGUGGUGCAGCCGCCACCAGGCUUCCCUGAUGGCUGGGACGUCUGUGGCCCGUGAGCUGGACAGUCUGGAAGCGAGCAUCUUCAGCAGCUGUGCCUGACCCCGGGCUCCAGAAGUUUCCCGAGUCUGCAGGAAUUGCCGGGAGACGCAGAGCAACCCCUUUAAUCAGGCUCCGUGAACUCUUUAACCCAAAGCUCUGCUGUGGGCGUCCACCCCUGAGAAGCCGCAGACGAGCUGAUCCUUGUCGUGCUGACUUCUGCUCAUCGUGUCCUGGACAACCUCGGGGCUGGGUUUCCUCUUCUCGGUGGCUUGGCCCCCAGGCCCGGCCUGGGUCGCUGCUCUGCCUUCCUCAUGGACCAGCGUGUCUGACGUUCUCCCCCCACAAGAUUCCUGCGUGGCUUUCGGUCGGUUGAAAGUCACUCAAAUAGGCUUCCUGAAUAACAGAGUCGGGCAGCUCGCUAGAUGCUCAUUUUUUGCAUUCAUUGAAUUUUCUAACAACCUUCCGGAAACGUCCUUUCCUUGCAGAAUUCAAAGGCAUUUGCAAAGCAUUAAAGAAACAUGCUCCCUGGACGCCCCCUGCUCGUUCUGCUGACCCCGCUUCCUUAAGACAAGUAUCCCCCCCGCCCCAAGCAGCCCCUGCUCUGCCUGCCCCUCUGCCUUGGCCCCGCCUCCCCGGUCUUCUCUCCUUCUGGGGCUCCGCAGCUUCCAGGGGACAAUUCCAAAUGGCAGAUCUCAGCCCUCACCUUGGGCUUAGAACUUUCCAUGGCUCCUCAGGAUAAACGUCUAACAGAAAAAUCCCAACGCCUAUCCCCAGGGUGGCUCCGAGGACGUCCCUGGGCCCAGCAUCGCCGUCCCUUUUCUGUGUCUGUG